Non-coding RNA from Camellia sinensis, 861 nucleotides. Lineage: Eukaryota; Viridiplantae; Streptophyta; Magnoliopsida; Ericales; Theaceae. The record is from RefSeq and is a predicted model, not a curated record.
CCCUGUUUGUUAUUGCUGAAUCUGGUUUGUGGGAUUUGGCCUUUCUCUGCUCCUCCUCUGUCUCUGCUGUUGCUGCUGCCAACGUCGAUACCAUGGCUAUUCUCGAACAGCUUAUGCGCUUUCUCUCAUUUUUCUGACGUUCACCAUUGCUGCAAUCAUUGGAUGCGUUGUUUUGUAUACUGGACAAGGGAAGUUCCAUACUAGCACAUCGAAUACAUUGGACUAUGUCAUGUGGCAAGCUAACACCAUUGUUGAGAGUCUUGGGAGUGUAUUGGAUUAUCUUGAAGCAGCUAAGCAUAUCAGAGUGGAUCAACUUUUUUUACCUCCUGAUGUUCAAAACAACAUCAACAAGGUUGAAACUGACAUUAAUACUGCUGCUCCAUGGGGUCAUCAAUUCGACUAGUUAAGUCAAUGCAGCCGGCUAUCAGCAAUCCGGCAUCUGCUGAUUCCAUUAUAAGCUCUAAAACUGAUCCAAAUCUUUGCUUUGCAACGCAUGCCCAUUCCAGCAUCUCAUUUUUUGGUCUUAGCGUGGAGAGUAGUGUUGCAGAUCAUCAAGACUGGUGCUUCUCCAAUGGUUCUCAUGGGAGAGCCGCCUCCAUUGUGUCCUGAAAGUUCAUUCCCUUCAACUAGUAGGAGCAGCGCUGUUUUGCGUUACAUGGAAAAGAAGAAGACACGCAAGUAAGCGUAGAGUUGUUUUUUUUUUGUUUUUACACCAUUUAGGUUAAAAAAAGAAAAGUAUAUUGUGUGGACCUAGGAAGCAUGGAUGUGUAUUUAAUUCACUUUCAAUUCUUUUUGAUUGUUUAGUUCUUUGGUUUAAUGGAAAUUAUAUUUUGAGGUUUGUGAUAGUUUCGAGGAAAGUGU